RNAcentral lists this ribosomal RNA (1248 nucleotides) under Lacticaseibacillus rhamnosus. RNAcentral's name for it is "bacterial SSU rRNA". It matches the Rfam family "Bacterial small subunit ribosomal RNA", at positions 110 to 1345 of the family's 1533-position model. The record is from RNAcentral. Lineage: Bacteria; Bacillati; Bacillota; Bacilli; Lactobacillales; Lactobacillaceae.
GUAACACGUGGCUAACCUGCCCUUAAGUGGGGGAUAACAUUUGGAAACAGAUGCUAAUACCGCAUAAAUCCAAGAACCGCAUGGUUCUUGGCUGAAAGAUGGCGUAAGCUAUCGCUUUUGGAUGGACCCGCGGCGUAUUAGCUAGUUGGUGAGGUAACGGCUCACCAAGGCAAUGAUACGUAGCCGAACUGAGAGGUUGAUCGGCCACAUUGGGACUGAGACACGGCCCAAACUCCUACGGGAGGCAGCAGUAGGGAAUCUUCCACAAUGGACGCAAGUCUGAUGGAGCAACGCCGCGUGAGUGAAGAAGGCUUUCGGGUCGUAAAACUCUGUUGUUGGAGAAGAAUGGUCGGCAGAGUAACUGUUGUCGGCGUGACGGUAUCCAACCAGAAAGCCACGGCUAACUACGUGCCAGCAGCCGCGGUAAUACGUAGGUGGCAAGCGUUAUCCGGAUUUAUUGGGCGUAAAGCGAGCGCAGGCGGUUUUUUAAGUCUGAUGUGAAAGCCCUCGGCUUAACCGAGGAAGUGCAUCGGAAACUGGGAAACUUGAGUGCAGAAGAGGACAGUGGAACUCCAUGUGUAGCGGUGAAAUGCGUAGAUAUAUGGAAGAACACCAGUGGCGAAGGCGGCUGUCUGGUCUGUAACUGACGCUGAGGCUCGAAAGCAUGGGUAGCGAACAGGAUUAGAUACCCUGGUAGUCCAUGCCGUAAACGAUGAAUGCUAGGUGUUGGAGGGUUUCCGCCCUUCAGUGCCGCAGCUAACGCAUUAAGCAUUCCGCCUGGGGAGUACGACCGCAAGGUUGAAACUCAAAGGAAUUGACGGGGGCCCGCACAAGCGGUGGAGCAUGUGGUUUAAUUCGAAGCAACGCGAAGAACCUUACCAGGUCUUGACAUCUUUUGAUCACCUGAGAGAUCAGGUUUCCCCUUCGGGGGCAAAAUGACAGGUGGUGCAUGGUUGUCGUCAGCUCGUGUCGUGAGAUGUUGGGUUAAGUCCCGCAACGAGCGCAACCCUUAUGACUAGUUGCCAGCAUUUAGUUGGGCACUCUAGUAAGACUGCCGGUGACAAACCGGAGGAAGGUGGGGAUGACGUCAAAUCAUCAUGCCCCUUAUGACCUGGGCUACACACGUGCUACAAUGGAUGGUACAACGAGUUGCGAGACCGCGAGGUCAAGCUAAUCUCUUAAAGCCAUUCUCAGUUCGGACUGUAGGCUGCAACUCGCCUACACGAAGUCCGAAUCGCUAGUAAUCGC